UUCACCACAACUUAAUUAAAUGCUUAGGGUUUAUUUGAAUUUAUUUAUUUGUGCUUAUAUACUACCAUAAGCAUUUAUUAGACUCUUCAGGAGAAGAAUUUAUGAAAACUACUUAUGACAUGCCUAUAUGUUGUUUUAACCUACGAGGAAUGCUAGCAACACUUAUUUUUGAACACUUUCUCUAACACUCACUCUUUCAUUGGAUAAAACCAAUGUAUGUUCCACCACUUUGUGUGGGUUCAUUUUUCAAAGUGUAGACCCACAAUGAUUUAAACCAAUAAGAGAGUGGGUGACAGAGAGAGUGCUCAAAAGAGAGUGUUGCUAGCAUUCCUCUUAACCUAUUUAUGUAACCUUUUCAAGAUAGUAUAGGAAAACAACUUAUAGUUUAUACGUAAAAGCAUUGACUUCAUUUUAUUUUGUAUUUUAAAAAUAGCUUAUUCAUAAGUGUUUAUAAGCUGCAAAUCAAGAUGUUUAUCCAAACAUGGCC
This 487-nucleotide long non-coding RNA is filed under the name Medicago truncatula (barrel medic). RNAcentral's name for it is "long non-coding RNA (MTRU_LNC003547)". Lineage: Eukaryota; Viridiplantae; Streptophyta; Magnoliopsida; Fabales; Fabaceae. The record is from RNAcentral.